Non-coding RNA from Cricetulus griseus (Chinese hamster), 320 nucleotides. The record is from RefSeq and is a predicted model, not a curated record. Lineage: Eukaryota; Metazoa; Chordata; Mammalia; Rodentia; Cricetidae.
AGAUGUCCUCUAAGGAUAAAGGUUUUUUCGUUAAAUUUAUUAGAGUUUCCCUUAAGAACUGGAAUUCUGGUUGCAUGAUUCCUGCAGAUGGUAAUAUUGCUACUGCUGUGAUUUGAAACAUGGAGGUUGUAGCUGAGGAUGGCCUUCACCUUUUGAUCUUGCCACACCUCUAGUGCUAUAUGUGCAGACAUGUGCUCCUUUAUGGACUGCUGGAGUUAGAACACUGCUCAUGCUAGCAAGCUCUCUGCCAGCCAAACUACUUCCCCUGCCCCUUCUAAGUUCUAAUUUUUUAAAAUAAAACUUGUUCCUGAGUGACCAGC